UCUGGGUGGGUAGGUACGUACUUGAAGCUACUUCCACAUCACCUUCUUGAUUAUUUUUCAAAAAUGAAAUUUAUCGUAGAAGGCAAACACUUCAUUAAAUCGAAACACCUACAUGCUUGCAUAUUUUAUAGCGAUGGAGCCGUCAGUGUCACAUCCACAUUGCAAUUUGCUCAAUUCGAAUUUUUUUUCAAUUCCAAAAUUUUUCUUAUCGCCAAAAAAAUGAUUCGGAAAGUUCGUGUUACGUUGACCUAUUUUAUGAAUCUGCUCAUCGGAUGAAUUCAUGUUCAACAAGUACUCACAAAAUGAUUAGUUCGAUUUUAGAACACUGGAGUUGAAACCGCAAAAACCAUCGAGAAAAAUUAAGAAACAAGUAAUUUUCAAACUGAUGAGUAACAAAGAAGAACUUUAAUUUCUAAUCUUCAAAUUGAAACUUUGAAAAUGUUCAGCAGUAUCGAUUAUGACUCUAUUGAAGAAAACAUAACCAGAUUUAUAUCCAUAUCUUAUUUUGAAAAUCUAACAUUCAACUCAGCAUCGAUAUUAGCUUUAAUCAUCUCAACAGGUUUUCUCAUUUUAUACUUAAUCGUCGGUGCCAAUAAAGAGAAUUUGAGCAGUUUACCGAAUAAAACCCUAUAUUCGUAUUCUAUAUCGUUAUUAAUAUCGUAUUCAUCAACCUUAAUUUUAUGGUGUUCCAAUUCAUACGACAAAUUGCAGUUCGUAUGUAUGUAUGUAACUGAAACGCAAUAUUUUUGGACAUUUAUUAUCUCAUACGAAUACUGGCGUUUUACCUACAAUUCGUUCAAGAAUCGCAAAAUCAGUACAGAAGGGCAAACGAUAAAAUAUAUAAUUUAUUGCUUCCUUGGAUGGGUCCUACCUGCGAUACCAGUAAUCGCACUUGUCUUCAUGGUGAUAAUUUUAUCAAAAUUCGAUGAAAAUACCGUUUUGAAUUUCAACGAAUCUUCUGAUGAUUUUACCAUAAUGGCUUAUCUGAUGUUUACGUUUUUCGUUGUAUUUUUGGUUCAAAUUGUAACGAUUUUAAUUUGCAUAAUUUUUGUGUUCAUUCAAGCAUGUGUAUUUAUUUACUUUGCGACGAUGCGAGUUAAUGUACAAUCGACUGUGAAAAGAAAUUACUUGAUUGUUUUUAUCAAAAUUGCGUACUUGAUGAAUGGAUUCUGAGUAAUUUUUUUUAUAACGACGUAUAUUUGUGCAACAAAUUCUGAUUCUACCAGUGAAGCUGAUGGAACCAGUUUACCAGGCGAUAUUUGGGCGUUUUCGUUCGCGUUUCAGGGCACGUUUUUAUUUUUUGCUUUUGGAUUGGCGAAAUUUAAGCUCAUAAUAGCCGGCUGGUGUGCUCGUGAUAAUCGUGCAAUUGGUGUAAAAAAUGAUGGAUGAGAAAAAAAUCUGUUACGAUAAUGAAAUAUCCCCUCAACUUUAUCUUAUUCAAUGACUUAAGUGUUCACCAAGCAAAAUGAAGCAUCGGAGCCCUGUUCUUGAAACAUCUUUAUAAUUCAUUUUUAAGUGCAGGUACCUACCUAUUAAGUGCCCAAGUAUUCACAAUUACAGGGUGGCCAGAAAUAUCGGGUACCCCAAAGAAAGUGUUUCAUUAAAAAUGUAGGUUGGCAACAUGAAA
Molecule: long non-coding RNA, 1627 nt
Organism: Planococcus citri (citrus mealybug)
Lineage: Eukaryota; Metazoa; Arthropoda; Insecta; Hemiptera; Pseudococcidae
Exons: 2
Source: RefSeq, a predicted model, not a curated record